GAUCACGUGGCCUAAUGGAUAAGGUGUCCGACUUCGAAUCGGGAGAUUGUGGGUUCGAUUCUCAUCGUGAUCG
Non-coding RNA from Hydractinia symbiolongicarpus, 73 nucleotides. The record is from the annotation of a RefSeq genome assembly. Lineage: Eukaryota; Metazoa; Cnidaria; Hydrozoa; Anthoathecata; Hydractiniidae.